UAGGGAAUAUUGCACAAUGGGGGAAACCCUGAUGCAGCGACGCCGCGUGAAGGAAGAAGUAUCUCGGUAUGUAAACUUCUAUCAGCAGGGAAGACAAUGACGGUACCUGACUAAGAAGCCCCGGCUAACUACGUGCCAGCAGCCGCGGUAAUACGUAGGGGGCAAGCGUUAUCCGGAUUUACUGGGUGUAAAGGGAGCGUAGACGGCAUGGCAAGUCUGAAGUGAAAAGCCCGGGGCUCAAACCCCGGGAGCUGCUUUGGAAAUCUGUCAGGCUAGAGUGCUGGAGAGGUAAGUGGAAUUCCUAGUGUAGCGGUGAAAUGCGUAGAUAUUAGGAGGAACACCAGUGGCGAAGGCGACUUUCUGGACUGUAACUGACGUUGAGGCACGAAAGUGUGGGGAGCAAACAGGAUUAGAUACC
This 418-nucleotide ribosomal RNA is filed under the name uncultured bacterium. RNAcentral's name for it is "bacterial SSU rRNA". It matches the Rfam family "Bacterial small subunit ribosomal RNA", at positions 355 to 786 of the family's 1533-position model. The record is from RNAcentral.